This 1216-nucleotide long non-coding RNA is filed under the name Helianthus annuus (common sunflower). Its description in RNAcentral is "hypothetical non coding rna". Lineage: Eukaryota; Viridiplantae; Streptophyta; Magnoliopsida; Asterales; Asteraceae. The record is from RNAcentral.
UGUCCAUUUUCUUUCUCACGCCAAAGAUACAUACCCCAUUUUCUUUAAUUAUUUCUACAAAACCCUGCCCCGUUUUAAGUAUUGUAGCCCCUGAUCACUGAUACCCUGUCCAAGUGAUGUAGGGCCCCGUAACGUAUGACAAGGCUCUGCCUAAAUUCGUUGGGGUUCUGUCUCGUGACGUAGGGAUAAAGUAGAAUUGGGUUGCUAUACUUAAUGUGAGUGCACUAUAUAUUUAUUAAAUAACCCAUGAGUGAUACCCAAAAUAGAACAACCCUCCUAAAACACCCCUGACACCCUACACUUUCUAAAAUAUAUCCCAUACGUGAAAACCGAUCCCGAAAUACAAUAUAUAAAUUAAAAACAAGAAAUAGUAAGUUGAGGCGGGCCGCGUAAGACCCCGUUAAGUUAACGCGGGCCGCGAGAGAUCGAAGUUGUGGCGCAGCCCAGUGAUGACACGUGUCAUCAUCGUGGCGGGUCUAGAGGGUGAGCCGGACAAGCUAGUCCGUUGACCAGGGUUGACGCGGGCCGCGUAACCCUUGUCCUUUCUUUACGCGGGCCGCGUGGGAACCAGUUUCAGCACUAUAUGAAGGCCAUCGGGUUUCACUUUCCAUUAUAACCAGGGAAUCACAAAGGAAAGCCCUAUAAUAGCAAUGUGAGUUUAUCCUCUUUUUGUUAAUGUUUUUGGAAUAAUUUACAAAACCUUAAAUGUUUUACAAUGUGAUUAAGCGGUGAUUGAGUCUUUGUAGUUCUUCAAUUACUGCCGGUAUGUUGGGGUUUUGUAUACAAAAUUUGUACUACUUGCGAGUAGUAAGUCGGGAUGACAAUACAUUACCAUUGGACAAUGAGUUAGCCAAUGGGUAAUAUGACCCACAAGUCAGGAUUGAUAGUACCAAAUGGAGUAAUUGUGUAGACAUAAACACUGUAAUCGUCCUCGAUACUGCUUUAAUCGAUAAAAUGUUUCUUGAUUAAACUUGGAUUCACUCACCAGUAUUUCUUGCUGGUAAAAUGUUUUAAACACGUGUUUCAGGUAACUUAGUAUGAAGCUAAUAAAAGCCAGCUGGAGAGCACUGAAGGCUUGGAAAAGUGACAAUAAAGUUACCUAAAAUAAAAUAGAUGUUUUUAUUAAACAAAAUAGGAUUUGGUCCUAUGAAAAUGUAUGUACUGCAAAACUUGGGUUAUCCCAUGUGUUUAAUGUUAUAAAAUGUGGUGGUUUACU